AUAGCGAACAAGUACCGUGAGGGAAAGUUGAAAAGCACUUUGAAGAGAGAGUUCAAGAGUACGUGAAACCGUUCAGGGGUAAACCUGAGAAACCCGAAAGGUCGAAGGGAGAAAUUUAUUCGCGUCUCGCCGCCGGCGGGAGGCGGUCGUGCGACGGAAGACGCGCUCGCGCGUCGUCCGCGCCCUCCGCUUCCGGAUCCGGAGGCGAACGCGUGCACUUUUCUCCCGGUUGGACGUCGCGAUCCGUCGGGCGUCGGUCUACGGCUCGCGGUCGACCCGCUCGACGGUAGACGAACGGUCGAGGGCCGCUCCGCUGGGAGCGUCCGGCCCGUCGCAAGCGCGCCAGGCGCACCGGCGAUCGGACCUGGUGCCGGUCCCGGUCCCUGGCGACUGUUGGCGGCGGAGUCCUCGGACAGACCUGCGACCGAUCGGCGACGCUAUAGCUUUGGGUACUUUCAGGACCCGUCUUGAAACACGGACCAAGGAGUCUAGCAUGUGCGCGAGUCAUUGGGACCGUAACUAAACCCAAAGGCGCAAUGAAAGUGAAGGUCCGCCUCGCGCGGACUCGGGGAGGACGGGCGGCCCGCCCUCAGAAGCGGCCGCCUCGCACUCCCGGGGCGUCUCGUUCUCAUCGCGAGGGGAGGCGCACCGAGAGCGUACACGCUGGGACCCGAAAGAUGGUGACCUAUGCCUGGUCAGGACGAAGUCAGGGGAAACCCUGAU
This 723-nucleotide ribosomal RNA is filed under the name Geochus politus. RNAcentral describes it as "partial large subunit ribosomal RNA". It matches the Rfam family "Eukaryotic large subunit ribosomal RNA", at positions 337 to 868 of the family's 3401-position model. Lineage: Eukaryota; Metazoa; Arthropoda; Insecta; Coleoptera; Curculionidae. The record is from RNAcentral.